RNAcentral lists this ribosomal RNA (253 nucleotides) under uncultured bacterium. Its description in RNAcentral is "partial 16S ribosomal RNA". It matches the Rfam family "Bacterial small subunit ribosomal RNA", at positions 524 to 776 of the family's 1533-position model. The record is from RNAcentral.
UACGUAGGGGGCUAGCGUUGUCCGGAAUCAUUGGGCGUAAAGCGCGCGUAGGCGGCCCGGUAAGUCCGCUGUGAAAGUCAAAGGCUCAACCUUUGAAUGUCAGCGGAUACUGCCGGGCUAGAGUCCGGAAGAGGCGAGUGGAACUCCUGGUGUAGCGGUGGAAUGCGCAGAUAUCAGGAAGAACACCAACGGCGAAGGCAGCUCGCUGGGACGGUACUGACGCUAAGGCGCGAAAGCGUGGGGAGCGAACAGG